UAUUCACAUGUUCAUGUUUCCUACCCACAUGAAGAAAGCUAGAUGCUUUUCUCUUUUUCCUUGGAUAUAUUUUUCUGCUCCAAUAGAUCAUCAUCACUUCCAUACUUCUGCACCUUCAUGCCUUGCUUUCAUUUCAUCAUUACUCCAUCUUUUCCAUAUUUUACAAACCACUUUCAUUAUUUUUCUUCCAUUUAUCAUUUCACUCUUCUUUUUCUUCCCUAUAUAAACACCUUCUCCUCUCACUCUAAACAUAUUCCUUCAUCCAUUCCAUCUUCUUUGUCUCUCCAUUUCCUUUCCAUUUUCCUUUCCAUCCUCUAGUUUCAAGUUUAGUCAUCUCCACGAGUUCAAGCAAGGCCAAAGAAGAAGAAGAGAAGCCGUGAGCACUUCCAUCCAUAGCCAUCCUUGAAGCUUGCUUUCGAGUUUCAAGAAUCCACAACAUGAAUCAUCCAUCUCAUCUUCAUCCACGGUGUGUACCCUCAAUCCCCGGAAUAGAACGAUCCCUAUUUGCUUAUACUACUAACGAUGUUUUCAGGGUUAAAUUAUGCGCUUGCUUUGAGCGUAUCACACCAGCUGUCACCACAAUGGACCUCAUUGUUAAACCAGCAAAACUCACUCCAAUGGCCAAAAAUCUGACCCAAACUAGGGGUCAUCAUUUGGUCCUUGGGCACUAAGCCCAUUUCAAGCGUGCUCGGCCCGACCCUUGCAUUUGGGCGGGUCGGCCCAGCCUUUUCUCAAAUAUGGUAAGGUAUAGGCCAUGCAAAUAAAGGUCGGCUUACCCCUUAACUGCCAUGCAAAUAAAGUCCGGCCUGGUCUAUUUGAGCUUUUAAGGGCCAAGCCUGCCCAAUCAAGCCCUAAUAAUUUUCUAUUUUUUCUAUUUUCUAAAUAUGUUGAUCUUUUUCUUUUUUUCCACAUACAAUUUAUCCCUAUCUUUUUUGAAGGGCAAUUUAUCCCUAUCUUAUUUUGUAAUUGAUUUAAUAAGCUUUAUUUUUUCUUUUUACUUGUUA
Rosa rugosa (rugosa rose) is the source of this 1004-nucleotide long non-coding RNA. RefSeq lists it as uncharacterized. The transcript has 2 exons. The record is from RefSeq and is a predicted model, not a curated record. NCBI's taxonomy places the organism in Eukaryota, Viridiplantae, Streptophyta, Magnoliopsida, Rosales, Rosaceae.